Arabidopsis lyrata subsp. lyrata is the source of this 978-nucleotide long non-coding RNA. RefSeq lists it as uncharacterized. NCBI's taxonomy places the organism in Eukaryota, Viridiplantae, Streptophyta, Magnoliopsida, Brassicales, Brassicaceae. The record is from RefSeq and is a predicted model, not a curated record. The transcript has 2 exons.
UGCAACCGGUUUCAGUCCGACAACCACCGGCUUAUUAUGCGAUGGUUGGGUCGUCUAUCAUUUCCGUCAUCGACCGUUUCUUUUUACGGUGAUAGACGGCUUGAGUCCGGCAUGUGUCGGCUCCUUCGGCGACAUCAUGGUCGGUUUUCGUCUAGGGUUUCACUGUCUCGUCUCUGUGAUUCGUCUAGCUUCGGUUUAUCUUUUGAUUUGGUUUUUGUUGUUUGUGAAGUUGCUUCUUCUCGAAGGUUCCGACAGCUUCCUUUGCCUUGGAGAAUUCACUUCGAUUCGAGUCUCUGUUGGUGCAUAAAAAAAUUGGGAUUUUGGAUCUGUUUUUCGAACCAUCCUUUGACUUGAUUUGUUGGGAAGCUGCAGAAUUAGUUUGGGCACAGUGGUUUUGAAGGUUCUGUGACGGUUUUCAGUGUACCGGAGAAGAUGUUCCGGUGACUCCAUUUUGCUGGCGUCAUUACUCAGGCCACUUUGAUGACUCACCUUUUCUUUGGCUGAUUGUGCAACACGUGGAUUCAUCCUUAUCUCUUUGUUAUCGCUUUUGAUAUUUUAUUUUAGUUUGGCUUUUUAAUCAGGGUUAAGCUUCUAGUGUAGAUUGUUUUAGUUUUAUGCUUUUAUCUGUUUAGUUGUUUUAUAAUCAGAAUAGAAGUUAUCACCCUGCUCGGAUGUUAAGAUGGUGAGCAAGAAGCAACCAUACUACAAGAAUAUGAUGGAAGCUAUAAGAUCAGCUCUAAACCUUUGAGUUUUGAUGUUUGGUCUUAUUGAGAUUAGUUAUGAUGUUGCUGUUAACAAGCUACCAUUUCACAACGUUCCCUUUAGUGGCAGAAUGGGUUGUACUUUACUUGAAUUUGGUUGAUUGUAAAAUUUGUUGUUGUAUCUUGUACUUGCCUCUCCAACAUGGGUUCUCCAUUGAUGGAUGAUGUUGUUUGGAUGUUAUAUAUACAAAGACACCCUUUGGAAAAAAAAAAAAAA